Molecule: ribosomal RNA, 720 nt
Filed under: Bacillus sp. 546(2010)
Lineage: Bacteria; Bacillati; Bacillota; Bacilli; Caryophanales; Bacillaceae
Description: bacterial SSU rRNA
Rfam family: Bacterial small subunit ribosomal RNA
Source: RNAcentral
GAGCUUGCUCCCUGAGAUUAGCGGCGGACGGGUGAGUAACACGUGGGCAACCUGCCUAUAAGACUGGGAUAACUUCGGGAAACCGGAGCUAAUACCGGAUACGUUCUUUUCUCGCAUGAGAGAAGAUGGAAAGACGGUUUACGCUGUCACUUAUAGAUGGGCCCGCGGCGCAUUAGCUAGUUGGUGAGGUAAUGGCUCACCAAGGCGACGAUGCGUAGCCGACCUGAGAGGGUGAUCGGCCACACUGGGACUGAGACACGGCCCAGACUCCUACGGGAGGCAGCAGUAGGGAAUCUUCCGCAAUGGACGAAAGUCUGACGGAGCAACGCCGCGUGAACGAAGAAGGCCUUCGGGUCGUAAAGUUCUGUUGUUAGGGAAGAACAAGUACCAGAGUAACUGCUGGUACCUUGACGGUACCUAACCAGAAAGCCACGGCUAACUACGUGCCAGCAGCCGCGGUAAUACGUAGGUGGCAAGCGUUGUCCGGAAUUAUUGGGCGUAAAGCGCGCGCAGGUGGUUCCUUAAGUCUGAUGUGAAAGCCCACGGCUCAACCGUGGAGGGUCAUUGGAAACUGGGGAACUUGAGUGCAGAAGAGGAAAGUGGAAUUCCAAGUGUAGCGGUGAAAUGCGUAGAGAUUUGGAGGAACACCAGUGGCGAAGGCGACUUUCUGGUCUGUAACUGACACUGAGGCGCGAAAGCGUGGGGAGCAAACAGGAUUAG